Molecule: long non-coding RNA, 1714 nt
Organism: Cephus cinctus (wheat stem sawfly)
Lineage: Eukaryota; Metazoa; Arthropoda; Insecta; Hymenoptera; Cephidae
Exons: 4
Source: RefSeq, a predicted model, not a curated record
UAUUAUUUAUUGCCUGAACGUUUUCCCAGUUAAUUUGCCCGGGGCAUGCACGCCGGCUAGGCACGAAAUGAAAUUUUACCGCUUGCCAAGGGGGCCUUCGAAAAUCGGCUGAUAUACGAUCAUUACUGUUUGUUGGACAAACAAAAGGUCGCGCGCGCACAUCGCUUGAAAUAUGACGACCCUGAGCGAGAGUAACAACUCGCGAAUGAUAUAACGAUCGGAUAAUCAGUAGGUCAGGACGACCUCUGCUAUCAUGGGCGUUCAGAGAUCCGGAUAAAACGACGGACGUCACUUUACACCUCCAUUCAUCAGAUCAUAAAACAUCUAUUUCACGGAAGGAUUUCAAGACGGUUCCACGCGAUCUGGGAUUAAGAGUGACAAAUAAUUGUGGCGACCAAUGGGAAGCUGGCACAUGGAACAAGUGUGGCUUAACGACCAAGCCUGAUUGUGCCAUCGUGAUGUCUAUGAUGGCUGCAGAUUGUUGAGAGACGAAGAGUCAAGUUCUGCCCGGUUGGUUAAGGUUGAGAUGAAGAGGGGAUGAAGGAUUUUGAGUACAGGGGAUGAAAGCGCAAGCUUAAAACUGGCCGUAAAGUGACAGAAGACUGUGUAAAUGUGAGGCCGACAUGGCUGUUCUCUGGGAAAAGAUCUUGACGGCGUCGCCAUGACUACCGAAUGGGAUUUUAAGUCGCUACCACUGAAGUGGCUGCAAAGUGAGUCGAUCGGCCUUUCUCGAAAGCUUUCAUCCCCUUCUCGCGUUAUCGUUGCUGUCGAGUGGUCGCAAAAUAUCCAGAUACAUCUCUGGGGAGUUCGAGAGUCUGACACUUUGAUACCGGAACGAGCGUGAGCCCCACCGCCCAGUGCUGCAGGGAGAAGACAUGGACACACGAUUCGCUUAGCCCGACUGUUCACGAUUUUCAUCGUCAUUGCGAGGACGACAUUGAUAAGGGACGGUGGGGGGUGUUGAUUUUAUCCAUUCAAGCCUUUACUUCGUUGUAAAAUAUCCCGGCGCUCCCGUAAAGCUUUUAAUCCUCAGCUGGACCUCUCAUUUACCCUCUCCUCCUUUCCCCACCUACCCCCGAUAAAGCCCGGGGACUUUUCCUCACUUUGGAUAACAUUGCUCACCGGCGAGAAAUCAUCAGCUCCCUUCACUCUGUAAGUGCCCCGUGCUCCUUGUCUCGUCUUCACACUUUAUGAAUGCCCGACGGCGACAGUGGAGUUGUGGGAAUCGAAAAUGAAAAUUUAAGGAAACCAGGUAAACGGCGGAUACUGCUGUUACUUUUAGCUGUAUAGAUAUAUAGAAUACGUAGAGUCCUCCGGAGAGGCCCAAAAUACUCGCCAUACAGUUCCAUGGCUCUGCGCCAUAACGAUUCGGGCCAUUAUUAUUCAUUAGGAUUUUUCCAGCCAUGUGUCUUCCUUAAGUUAUUUUUUCUCUUUGCUUCCUUUUCUGUUUUUUUUUUAUCAUCUACCAGUAGUGAGAAGCCGCUUCCCUGAGCGAGGGUGAGUUUAUCACGUGGUUACGCUUUAUUAAAUUUGGCAGGAAAAUGGCGGACACUCUUCAUUCUCAUUGACUAAGGACUGUGUCUCUCUGGACAGCGUAUCGAAUCCUUGUUCUUCACUUUGAUAUAAAGAUAUUCCCAUUUAUUAUCACCCGACGUUCGGCUUCUUCGCCAAAGGUAUAUAUAUCGGAAAUCUCUUGCCGCACGUAGCGGCUGAA